AUUGAACGCUGGCGGCAGGCCUAACACAUGCAAGUCGAGCGGAUGAAGGGAGCUUGCUCCUGGAUUCAGCGGCGGACGGGUGACUAAUGCCUAGGAAUCUGCCUGGUAGUGGGGGAUAACGUCCGGAAACGGGCGCUAAUACCGCAUACGUCCUGAGGGAGAAAGUGGGGGAUCUUCGGACCUCACGCUAUCAGAUGAGCCUAGGUCGGAUUAGCUAGUUGGUGGGGUAAAGGCCUACCAAGGCGACGAUCCGUAACUGGUCUGAGAGGAUGAUCAGUCACACUGGAACUGAGACACGGUCCAGACUCCUACGGGAGGCAGCAGUGGGGAAUAUUGGACAAUGGGCGAAAGCCUGAUCCAGCCAUGCCGCGUGUGUGAAGAAGGUCUUCGGAUUGUAAAGCACUUUAAGUUGGGAGGAAGGGCAGUAAGUUAAUACCUUGCUGUUUUGACGUUACCAACAGAAUAAGCACCGGCUAACUUCGUG
Molecule: ribosomal RNA, 484 nt
Filed under: uncultured bacterium
Lineage: Bacteria
Description: partial 16S ribosomal RNA
Rfam family: Bacterial small subunit ribosomal RNA
Source: RNAcentral